This is a long non-coding RNA of Gopherus flavomarginatus (Mexican gopher tortoise), 1336 nucleotides long. RefSeq lists it as uncharacterized. Lineage: Eukaryota; Metazoa; Chordata; Testudines; Testudinidae. The transcript has 5 exons. The record is from RefSeq and is a predicted model, not a curated record.
CAGCCACACCGCUGCUCGGGCUGUGCUCUGGCCCACCACUCCCGCUGGGCAGCGUGGGGAGCACAGCUGGCUCUGGCCGGGUGUCGUGGCUGAGAGCUCCUGCUGCUGAUGAGGGGAUUGCAACAAAGUAAGGGCCACCCUGUCGUCAUCCAAGAAACAUCUAGUGUGUUGGUGGAGAGGACCAUUAAAGUGCUUCUGAGCCGCUGUACUUCAGUAAUGGCUGGUGCAAGGAGACUAUACCUAUCCCUUCUGCCUGACUGAAGGCAUGGGAAGACCACUGCCCUUUCAGAAGGCUCUGAGAGUGGACGGGUAUCUAUCACAAUGGGGUCCUGGUCCACAACUAUAGUUCCUAGGUAAUACAUUAAUACAAAUAAAAACAGCAGUAUGCUGACUAGGUAGGAAUAAGAUGCAACUCCUGAAGAAAGCUUCCAACUCAAGAUCUCAUGAAAAAUAAAGGACAGUUCUGGUCCUCAGAGCUGUGCAGAACUUGACAACAUGGAUUUGAAGGAGUUCACACAAGUACUAUCUUCAGUUUCGGUCUACACAAUGGUUCUGAGGAGUUUGUUAGAACCCAUCUCAAAGAGAAUCUACAAACCUCACAGGAUUUUAGUGAACAGAGGUGGUGCAAAAUGCAGAUACAGUAGAACCUCGGAGUUAUGAAUGACCAAUCAACCACAUACCUCAUUUGGAACCAGAAGUAUGCAAAAAGGCAGCAGCAGAGACCAAAAAAAAAAAAAAAAAAAAAAGGAAAUACAGCACAGUACUGUGUCAAACAUAAACCACUAAAAAAAUAAAGGGAAAGUUUAAAAAACAGAUUUGACAAGCUGUGAGCAUUUGAAAAACUACACACUGAGCAUGAACAGCAGAAAACUUCCUUCAGUCAACAGGUUCACACAUAAAGUGCACAUGGACAGUUUUAAGGAACUUACAAGCUCUAAAGUCAUAUAAGCACGAGGCAAGAUGCUUACAAGCUUUCUGGCCAUGGACUUCUUUCUUUGUGCCGUUGUCCACAAUGCCCUUAAUGCUUAGAGCAGUGUCCUACUUCUUGUGCAUGAAAACCUCCUCAUUCAAAUCCCUCCUUAAAACUGAAUUCUUCUGGACAGCCGAUUGAUGCCAACUCACCUCUGAAAGCCUGCUGCAACAGACCACUAAAUGGAACAAUUGAAAACAACUGUUUAUGGCACGGAGAUGGUCUUCUAAUAAAGUUGGAGCAGAACUGUAAUUCAAUACAUGUGCGGAUACUUUGGAGAUUGCAUACUAACGGUGUCUCCUGCACAGCUCUCACUAUGUUUUAGUCAGUUAUAUAUGGCACUAGAGAAACCAUUUAAAGAUCUAU